CUGCCCGGGGAGGCCCAGGAGGGGCCCGGGCCCGGGGCCGCGCGAGGACGGCUGCAGGAGGUGCGCGGACACCCCGCGGCGCAGGGGGCCUCCCCCGCCGAGGAGGCGGAGAGCGGGGGGCGGGCGGGCGGCGCGUGCCUCUUACCGUCGGAAUUGGUCUCGGGAUCGAAGCGCUGCCCGCAGCCGCGGUUGUAGCACAGCAAGGACAUUUUCCGUUCCCACCGUCACGCGCAAGGCCAAAACACAGGGACCGGCGAGAGGAUGCGUCGGCCGCUCCCGCGUCCCCAGCACCGGUCUGACGACCCAGGCGACUGCCGGCUUCCGGAAACGCUCAGUGGCGUUUCAGGAACCUUCGCGAAUUUUCCGGUCGCGCAGGCGCAGCGGAGAAGGAAAGCGGCGGAGGAAGCGGUAGGAGGCCGGCGCUAGCCCCGGGUCGGACUGCUGCCGCUGGUAGCCGCCGGGGGUCGGAGCUGGAGCCCAGACAGCAGCGGAGGAGAAAUGCACAAUGCGCGGGGCAGCCACUGAAGGCGUGCGGGAGGCUGACAGCUGCCUCCCGACCUCCCCAGCCCGCCCUGGCAGCGCGCGUCUCCUCUCAGCCCCUGCGGCCCGGCGUCCUCCUUCCCUGCCUUGAGGCAGCGCCUUAGGCAGCCCGAAGACUGCCAGGACCAUUGCUUGCUUCAAGUCUCAGGUGGAGUUAUUUUAUAGCAAACCAGGCAUGGAAGCCCAGCUGUGGGAUUCUCUUCUACUUGGAAAUUGCCUCAAGAUGGAUUAUCUACAACCCGGCUACAACUGACAUGGUACCAGCUGGAUAUGAGCAGCUGGAACUCCAGGUGGACAAUAAUUCAAGAUAACACUUGGAGAAAGACAUGGAGAGCUGCACCCUGUGCUACUUCUGUGUGUUUCUCCUACCAAACCUCUACUUUUAAACCCCUCCCCUCAUCCAAACACCUAAAAUGGUCUUUUAAAGAGAUAAGCCUGGCGGUUUCCCAGUUGCUGGCAUUCGAUGAAUAAAACUGCUUUCCUUUCA
Saimiri boliviensis boliviensis (Bolivian squirrel monkey) is the source of this 1027-nucleotide non-coding RNA. The record is from RefSeq and is a predicted model, not a curated record. NCBI's taxonomy places the organism in Eukaryota, Metazoa, Chordata, Mammalia, Primates, Cebidae.